RNAcentral lists this transfer RNA (72 nucleotides) under Camelus bactrianus (Bactrian camel). It matches the Rfam family "tRNA". Rfam says of the family: Transfer RNA (tRNA) molecules are approximately 80 nucleotides in length. The record is from Rfam by way of RNAcentral. Lineage: Eukaryota; Metazoa; Chordata; Mammalia; Artiodactyla; Camelidae. RNAcentral also lists the same sequence under 2 other names.
AGGGGUAUAGCACAGUGGUAGAGCGAGCACUUCGCAUGCAUGAGGUCCUGGGUUCAAUCCCCAGUGCCUCCA